GACGAACGCUGGCGGCGUGCUUAACACAUGCAAGUCGAACGGAAAGGCCCUGCUUUUGUGGGGUGCUCGAGUGGCGAACGGGUGAGUAACACGUGAGUAACCUGCCCUUGACUUUGGGAUAACUUCAGGAAACUGGGGCUAAUACCGGAUAGGAGCUCCUGCUGCAUGGUGGGGGUUGGAAAGUUUCGGCGGUUGGGGAUGGACUCGCGGCUUAUCAGCUUGUUGGUGGGGUAGUGGCUUACCAAGGCUUUGACGGGUAGCCGGCCUGAGAGGGUGACCGGCCACAUUGGGACUGAGAUACGGCCCAGACUCCUACGGGAGGCAGCAGUGGGGAAUAUUGCACAAUGGGCGGAAGCCUGAUGCAGCAACGCCGCGUGCGGGAUGACGGCCUUCGGGUUGUAAACCGCUUUCGCCUGUGACGAAGCGUGAGUGACGGUAAUGGGUAAAGAAGCACCGGCUAACUACGUGCCAGCAGCCGCGGUGAUACGUAGGGUGCGAGCGUUGUCCGGAUUUAUUGGGCGUAAAGGGCUCGUAGGUGGUUGAUCGCGUCGGAAGUGUAAUCUUGGGGCUUAACCCUGAGCGUGCUUUCGAUACGGGUUGACUUGAGGAAGGUAGGGGAGAAUGGAAUUCCUGGUGGAGCGGUGGAAUGCGCAGAUAUCAGGAGGAACACCAGUGGCGAAGGCGGUUCUCUGGGCCUUUCCUGACGCUGAGGAGCGAAAGCGUGGGGAGCGAACAGGCUUAGAUACCCUGGUAGUCCACGCUGUAAACGGUGGGUACUAGGUGUGGGGUCCAUUCCACGGGUUCCGUGCCGUAGCUAACGCUUUAAGUACCCCGCCUGGGGAGUACGGCCGCAAGGCUAAAACUCAAAGGAAUUGACGGGGCCCCGCACAAGCGGCGGAGCAUGCGGAUUAAUUCGAUGCAACGCGUAGAACCUUACCUGGGUUUGACAUGGAUCGGGAGUGCUCAGAGAUGGGUGUGCCUCUUUUGGGGUCGGUUCACAGGUGGUGCAUGGCUGUCGUCAGCUCGUGUCGUGAGAUGUUGGGUUAAGUCCCGCAACGAGCGCAACCCUUGUUCACUGUUGCCAGCACGUUAUGGUGGGGACUCAGUGGAGACCGCCGGGGUCAACUCGGAGGAAGGUGGGGAUGACGUCAAGUCAUCAUGCCCCUUAUGUCCAGGGCUUCACGCAUGCUACAAUGGCUGGUACAGAGAGUGGCGAGCCUGUGAGGGUGAGCGAAUCUCGGAAAGCCGGUCUCAGUUCGGAUUGGGGUCUGCAACUCGACCUCAUGAAGUCGGAGUCGCUAGUAAUCGCAGAUUAGCAACGCUGCGGUGAAUACGUUCCCGGG
RNAcentral lists this ribosomal RNA (1343 nucleotides) under uncultured bacterium. Its description in RNAcentral is "16S ribosomal RNA". It matches the Rfam family "Bacterial small subunit ribosomal RNA", at positions 28 to 1378 of the family's 1533-position model. The record is from RNAcentral.